This 274-nucleotide unclassified non-coding RNA is filed under the name Hevea brasiliensis (rubber tree). Lineage: Eukaryota; Viridiplantae; Streptophyta; Magnoliopsida; Malpighiales; Euphorbiaceae. The record is from RNAcentral.
GGAAUGUGAUACAAAUUGAAGUUAAGAUAUAUUAAUAAAACAAAUUUAAAGUUCAACAGUGGGUGAAAUAAAUCCCCUCAAAUAAUAAAGAGAAGAAUUGGUAACGCUAGCUAACCCUAGCUAGAAGCUAAGAAAGAAGCCCCCCAUUCCAUUGUUAGUUAUAUGCAUGGAAAAGCUAAUAAUCAAUUAACCCCUGGCCAUGGGGAACACUUGAGCAGAGCAGACCCCAUAUAGGUUUGGCACCCAACUAUUCUUUUUUUCUCUUUGGUCUCUU